UACAGAGGUCUCAAGCGUUGUUCGGAUUCAUUGGGCGUAAAGGGUGCGUAGGUGGCGGGGUAAGUCAGGUGUGAAAUUUCGGAGCUUAACUCCGGAACUGCAUUCCAUACUGCGGUGCUUGAGGACUGGAGAGGAGACUGGAAUUUACGGUGUAGCAGUGAAAUGCGUAGAGAUCGUAAGGAAGACCAGUGGCGAAGGCGGGUCUCUGGACAGUUCCUGACACUGAGGCACGAAGGCCAGGGGAGCAAACGGG
This 253-nucleotide ribosomal RNA is filed under the name uncultured bacterium. RNAcentral describes it as "partial 16S ribosomal RNA". It matches the Rfam family "Bacterial small subunit ribosomal RNA", at positions 524 to 776 of the family's 1533-position model. The record is from RNAcentral.